UAUACUUAGUGGCGGACGGGUGAGUAACGCGUGGGCAACCUGCCCCGUGCCGGGGGAUACCGCCUGGAAACAGGCGCUAAUACCGCAUAAGCGCAUACAGCCGCAUGGGUGUAUGCGGAAAGCUCCGGCGGCACGGGAUGGGCCCGCGCCCGAUUAGCCAGUUGGCGGGGUAACGGCCCACCAAAGCGACGAUCGGUAGCCGGCCUGAGAGGGCGGACGGCCACAUUGGGACUGAGACACGGCCCAAACUCCUACGGGAGGCAGCAG
This 267-nucleotide ribosomal RNA is filed under the name uncultured bacterium. Its description in RNAcentral is "partial 16S ribosomal RNA". It matches the Rfam family "Bacterial small subunit ribosomal RNA", at positions 87 to 354 of the family's 1533-position model. The record is from RNAcentral.